GGUAACCUGCCCAUGUGCCCGGGAUAACUUCUGGAAACGGAUGCUAAAACCGGAUAGGUAGCAGACAAGCAUUUGACUGCUAUUAAAGUGGCUAAGGCCAUGAACAUGGAUGGACCUGCGGUGCAUUAGCUAGUUGGUGAGGUAACGGCCCACCAAGGCGACGAUGCAUAGCCGGCCUGAGAGGGCGGACGGCCACAUUGGGACUGAGACACGGCCCAGACUCCUACGGGAGGCAGCAUG
RNAcentral lists this ribosomal RNA (240 nucleotides) under uncultured bacterium. RNAcentral describes it as "partial 16S ribosomal RNA". It matches the Rfam family "Bacterial small subunit ribosomal RNA", at positions 120 to 353 of the family's 1533-position model. The record is from RNAcentral.